CCUACGGGAGGCAGCAGUGAGGAAUAUUGGUCAAUGGGCGUAAGCCUGAACCAGCCAAGUCGCGUGAGGGAUGAAGGUUCUAUGGAUCGUAAACCUCUUUUAUAAGGGAAUAAAGUGUGGGACGUGUCCUGUUUUGUAUGUAACUUGUGAAUAAGGAUCGGCUAACUCCGUGCCAGCAGCCGCGGUAAUACGGAGGAUCCGAGCGUUAUCCGGAUUUAUUGGGUUUAAAGGGUGCGUAGGCGGCCUUUUAAGUCAGCGGUGAAAGUCUGUGGCGCAACCAUAGAAUUGCCGUUGAAACUGGGAGGCUUGAGUAUGUUUGAGGCAGGCGGAAUGCGUGGUGUAGCGGUGAAAUGCUUAGAUAUCACGCAGAACCCCGAUUGCGAAGGCAGCCUGCCAAGCCAUGACUGACGCUGAUGCACGAAAGCGUGGGGAUCAAACAGGAUUAGAUACCCUAGUAGUC
This 460-nucleotide ribosomal RNA is filed under the name uncultured bacterium. RNAcentral describes it as "partial 16S ribosomal RNA". It matches the Rfam family "Bacterial small subunit ribosomal RNA", at positions 338 to 795 of the family's 1533-position model. The record is from RNAcentral.